AUCGCUUCUCGGCCUUUUGGCUAAGAUCAAGUGUAGUAUCUGUUCUUAUCAGUUUCAUGCCAGUGGAGAGUCACGCCGGUGUGGGGCCGGUGGGGAUGGGUGCUGCAUGGAGGGGGCAGGUGUUCCGGUGCCACAACACCAGCUCAAAGGCUGCCCUGAUGUGACCUGUUUCCUCCGGGUCUCGCCAU
Molecule: small nuclear RNA, 188 nt
Organism: Hyla sarda
Lineage: Eukaryota; Metazoa; Chordata; Amphibia; Anura; Hylidae
Product: U2 spliceosomal RNA
Exons: 1
Source: RefSeq, a predicted model, not a curated record